AGGAUCAUUAUCAUGUAAAUUCAGUCAUGCUUGCUGCGUGAGNNNNUAAACCCACACUGCGUACACCUUUCCUGUUGNNNNNGCCGGGUCCGGACGAGAGAUCCGUGCCCGGCGGAAAAUAACCUCCAAGUCAUACCAUAGAAUCAGUCUGAGNAAACAAAGAAACCAAAUGAAAUGUUAAAACUUUCAGCAACGGAUCUCUUGGUUCUCGCAUCGAUGAAGAACGCAGCGAAAUGCGAUAAGUAGUGUGAAUUGCAGAAUUCAGUGAAUCAUCGAAUCUUUGAACGCACAUUGCGCCUCCCGGUACUCCGGGAGGCAUGCCUGUUCGAGAGUCAUUGACAACCACAUCGAAUCCCCCCGUUUUUGGGGGGAGAUCGGUUCUGGGGGAAGAGGGGGUGAGCUGCCUCGCUACGCUUGGCAAAUCCCCUCCCCUCCGAAAUUCAUAUGCGGUCUGUGCCAAACCCACAUGUUUAUAUGGGCGCGUUGUANAGGAGGCCCCUCACGAAUUUGGAGGAGCCACUUUUCGCGUGUGUAUGAUAAUGCUGGUUGG
Molecule: ribosomal RNA, 550 nt
Filed under: Genea harknessii
Lineage: Eukaryota; Fungi; Ascomycota; Pezizomycetes; Pezizales; Pyronemataceae
Description: eukaryotic LSU rRNA
Rfam family: 5.8S ribosomal RNA (bases 182-335)
Source: RNAcentral